This 178-nucleotide non-coding RNA is filed under the name Verrucomicrobiia bacterium. RNAcentral's name for it is "6S RNA". It matches the Rfam family "6S / SsrS RNA". From Rfam's summary of the family: E. coli 6S RNA was the first non coding RNA to be sequenced, but its function was unknown until recently. It consists of 184 nucleotides that fold into an extended hairpin structure with a large single-stranded internal bulge. The 6S RNA specifically associates with RNA polymerase holoenzyme containing the sigma70 specificity factor. Lineage: Bacteria; Pseudomonadati; Verrucomicrobiota; Verrucomicrobiia. The record is from RNAcentral.
UUUUCCCUGCCCUGUUCGUGAUUCGCAACAGUCCUUGAACCGUAAUUAAACCAGUUCUGGAAUGAGUAAGAUUGUGGCCGGCACGCCUUUAAUGGAAGCCGAAAGCAGACGCGCAAGUUCCACAUGUAGCAAUACAUGUUCUAAGGAUCGAGUUCGACACGGCAAUGGCGGGGGUUUU